GACGAACGCUGGCGGCGUGCUUAACACAUGCAAGUCGAACGAAAAGAGGGAAAGAGCUUGCUCUUUCCGGAAUUGAGUGGCAAACGGGUGAGUAACACGUAAACAACCUGCCUUCAGGAUGGGGACAACAGACGGAAACGACUGCUAAUACCGAAUAAGUUCCAAGGGCCGCAUGGCCCAUGGAAGAACAGGUGGCCUCUACCUGUAAGCUAUCGCCUGAAGAGGGGUUUGCGUCUGAUUAGCUGGUUGGAGGGGUAACGGCCCACCAAGGCGACGAUCAGUAGCCGGUCUGAGAGGAUGAACGGCCACACUGGAAUUGAGACACGGUCCAGACUCCUACGGGAGGCAGCAGUGGGGAAUCUUCCGCAAUGGGCGAAAGCCUGACGGAGCAACGCCGCGUGAGUGAUGACGGCCUUCGGGUUGUAAAACUCUGUGAUCCGGGACGAAAAGGCAGAGUGCGAAGAACAAACUGCAUUGACGGUACCGGAAAAGCAAGCCACGGCUAACUACGUG
This 513-nucleotide ribosomal RNA is filed under the name uncultured bacterium. RNAcentral's name for it is "partial 16S ribosomal RNA". It matches the Rfam family "Bacterial small subunit ribosomal RNA", at positions 28 to 507 of the family's 1533-position model. The record is from RNAcentral.